GUGGGGAAUCUUCCGCAAUGGACGAAAGUCUGACGGAGCAACGCCGCGUGAGUGAAGAGGGUUUUCGGAUCGUAAAGCUCUUUCAUUAGGGACGAACGUGCUCUUUGUGAAUAAUGAGGAGUAAUGACGGUACCUAAAUAAGAAGCCACGGCUAACUACGUGCCAGCAGCCGCGGUAAUACGUAGGUGGCAAGCGUUGUCCGGAAUUAUUGGGCGUAAAGCGCGCGCAGGCGGGAUAUCAAGUCUGUCUUAAAAGUGCGAGGCUCAACCUCGUGAGGGGACAGAAACUGGUAUUCUUGAGUGUCGGAGAGGAAAGUGGAAUUCCAAGUGUAGCGGUGAAAUGCGUAGAGAUUUGGAAGAACACCAGUGGCGAAGGCGACUUUCUGGACGAUGUCUGACGCUGAGGCGCGAAAGCUAGGGGAGCGAACGGGAUUAGAAACCCCGGUAGUCC
RNAcentral lists this ribosomal RNA (450 nucleotides) under uncultured bacterium. RNAcentral describes it as "partial 16S ribosomal RNA". It matches the Rfam family "Bacterial small subunit ribosomal RNA", at positions 354 to 796 of the family's 1533-position model. The record is from RNAcentral.